RNAcentral lists this ribosomal RNA (633 nucleotides) under Kocuria palustris. Its description in RNAcentral is "partial 23S ribosomal RNA". It matches the Rfam family "Bacterial large subunit ribosomal RNA", at positions 1246 to 1767 of the family's 2925-position model. The record is from RNAcentral. Lineage: Bacteria; Bacillati; Actinomycetota; Actinomycetes; Micrococcales; Micrococcaceae.
GGUGGUGAAGCUGCCGGGUGACCGAGUGGUGGAGCCUGUUCGAGUGAGAAUGCAGGCAUGAGUAGCGAAUGACGGGUGAGAAACCCGUCCGCCGAAUGAUCAAGGGUUCCGGGGUCAAGCUAAUCUGCCCCGGGUGAGUCGGGACCUAAGGCGAGGCCGACAGGCGUAGUCGAUGGACAACGGGUUGAUAUUCCCGUACCGGCGAAGAACCGCCCAUACUGAACUGGGGAUACUAACCACCGGUUCCACCCGUUUCUCAUGCGCCACUUUGUGGUGUGUGGUUGUGGUGGGAUGCGUGGGACCUGAUCCAGGGAGGUAAGCGUGUUAACAGGUGUGACGCAGGAAGGUAGCCGAGCCAGGCGAUGGUAGUCCUGGUCUAAGCGUGUAGGGCGAGUCAUUGGUAAAUCCGUGGCUCAUAUAGCUUGAGACGUGAUGGGACCCCUUUGGUGGGGGAUUCGGUGAUCCUAUGCUGCCGAGAAAAGCAUCGACGUGAGGUUCUAGCCGCCCGUACCCCAAACCGACACAGGUGAUCAGGUAGAGAAUACUAAGGCGUUCGAGAGAAUCAUGGUUAAGGAACUCGGCAAAAUGCCCCCGUAACUUCGGGAGAAGGGGGGCCCGGACCCUGACAUGCCC